CUGCCACACUGGGGACCUAGCUUCCAGCACAUGAAUCUUUGGGAGACAAACCACAUUCAAACCACUGUACCCUACGAUCUGUUAAAAAAUUACCCUUACAUGGUGAAUUAUUAAAGCAUUGUUCUUUUUAGGCCUUGUCAACCACCAUAAUGUUUUUAUAAGCACCCGGAAAGCAGCAUUCACUGUAUUUUUGGUUAUAUUUCAUAAGAAUACAAAAAAGGACUUCCAGAACUGCUUCAGAAAGUGUUAAGAAUGAAAUAAUUUCUCAGAUAACAGGAGAAAUUGUGCCCCUAGUGCAAGACACGAUUAAUAAAUCUAGAGAGGAGCUCAGGAACAUGAUGGAA
Heterocephalus glaber (naked mole-rat) is the source of this 344-nucleotide long non-coding RNA. The record is from Ensembl. Lineage: Eukaryota; Metazoa; Chordata; Mammalia; Rodentia; Bathyergidae.